Molecule: ribosomal RNA, 349 nt
Filed under: uncultured bacterium
Lineage: Bacteria
Description: bacterial SSU rRNA
Rfam family: Bacterial small subunit ribosomal RNA
Source: RNAcentral
AGAGUUUGAUCAUGGCUCAGGAUGAACGCUAGCUACAGGCUUAACACAUGCAAGUCGAGGGGCAGCAUGUUGGUUGCUUGCAACCAAUGAUGGCGACCGGCGCACGGGUGAGUAACGCGUAUCCAACCUACCCUUGUCCAUCGGAUAACCCGUCGAAAGGCGGCCUAACACGAUAUGCGGUUCUCAGCAGGCAUCUAACGAGAACGAAAUGUGAAGGAGAAGGAUGGGGAUGCGUCUGAUUAGCUUGUUGGCGGGGUAACGGCCACAAGGCGACGAUCAGUAGGGGUUCUGGAGAGGAACGGUCCCCCANAUUGGAACUGAGACACGGUCCAAACUCCUACGGGAGGCA